RNAcentral lists this ribosomal RNA (367 nucleotides) under uncultured organism. Its description in RNAcentral is "bacterial SSU rRNA". It matches the Rfam family "Bacterial small subunit ribosomal RNA", at positions 526 to 896 of the family's 1533-position model. The record is from RNAcentral.
CGGAGGGUGCAAGCGUUAUCCGGAUUCACUGGGUUUAAAGGGUGCGUAGGUGGGUUGGUAAGUCAGUGGUGAAAUCUCCGAGCUUAACUUGGAAACUGCCAUUGAUACUAUCAGUCUUGAAUAUUGUGGAGGUUAGCGGAAUAUGUCAUGUAGCGGUGAAAUGCUUAGAUAUGACAUAGAACACCAAUUGCGAAGGCAGCUGGCUACACAUAUAUUGACACUGAGGCACGAAAGCGUGGGGAUCAAACAGGAUUAGAUACCCUGGUAGUCCACGCCCUAAACUAUGGAUACUCGACAUCAGCGAUACACUGUUGGUGUCUGAGCGAAAGCAUUAAGUAUCCCACUGGGAAGUACGACCGCAAGGUUG